Molecule: ribosomal RNA, 433 nt
Filed under: uncultured eukaryote
Lineage: Eukaryota
Description: bacterial SSU rRNA
Rfam family: Eukaryotic small subunit ribosomal RNA
Source: RNAcentral
CAAUAGCGUAUAUUAAAGUUGUUGCAGUUAAAAAGCUCGUAGUUGGAUUUCUGUUUCAGAGAACCUGGCCCGUGACCAAAUUUCGGUUCAUGGGUGCCGGUGUUUUCGUAACAUCCUUCCGGUGAUUUCUUCUGGUCCCUUUCAUUAGGUGGCUAGAGUGCUCCGGAUCUUUUACUUUGAAAAAUUAGAGUGUUUAAAGCAAGCAGUGUGUUGAAUACAUUAGCAUGGAAUAAUAAUCUAGGGCUUUGGUUCUAUUUUGUUGGUUUCUAGCGCCAAGUAAUGAUUGAUAGGGAUAGUUGGGGGUGCUCGUAUUUACAGGCCAGAGGUGAAAUUCUUGGAUUCUGUAAAGACGAACUUAUGCGAAAGCAUUCACCAAGGAUGUCUUCUUUAAUCAAGAACGAAAGACAGGGGAUCAAAGACGAUCAGAUACCAU